GGGCCGUGAGCGCCGUCUGGGGAGGUUGGGAAGACGUGCGUGCAGACGCGAUGCUGGUGGGCGCAGAAAGGCUGUGGAACCUCUUGGGUGUGACACUGUGUUUGUAAAAGGGGACCCAGCUGACCUCGAAAGGGCCCUGUGUCAGGGGACCCCGAGUGUCCAGAGCCAAGGACCACGCCGGGCUCCACGAUUUGCUAGGAGGACUCACAAGACCAGCGGACACUUGGACUCAGGUUAGGGACCUAAAUCUGGCCGCUCAGCACAUCACAGGUCAAUCAACAGACAGGAAGUUCUACAGGCAUCUAUCCGAACCCCUGGAGUCUCCAGGGGAAGGGCCCAGGAACCCGCAUGGCACUUGCACCCGCACGCUGUCCUGGGAAUCUCCAAAAGCGCCCAGGGAGACACGGAGACAGAGGUGGUCAGGACAAGAACAGCAGGUGUGCCCCCAAAGUGGGGUCCCAGCGAAGGCUUCUAAGCUCAGCAAACUCUGCUACCACUAGGAAGUAGGAGUGGCCUCUGUGUUGCCCUUGACUUACCCUCAUCUUUGUGAGCUCCCCGUCCUUUCAGAGAUGGCCGGCUUAGAGGGGCCCAUCUCAGAGGCAAAGCCACCACCUGCCCCACGUGGGUGUCCCAGAGCAGCAGGCUUAGGGUGGACUCCCCAUGCUUUGGUUGCCCCCCUCACCGGCACCUGACCUCUGUUCUGCUGUUUCCCUUGAAAUGGGCAAGUUGUACAUUAAUAAA
RNAcentral lists this long non-coding RNA (741 nucleotides) under Urocitellus parryii (Arctic ground squirrel). Its description in RNAcentral is "lncRNA (ENSUPAG00010003223.1)". The record is from RNAcentral. Lineage: Eukaryota; Metazoa; Chordata; Mammalia; Rodentia; Sciuridae.